Long non-coding RNA from Maniola jurtina (meadow brown), 104 nucleotides. RefSeq lists it as uncharacterized. The transcript has 3 exons. The record is from RefSeq and is a predicted model, not a curated record. NCBI's taxonomy places the organism in Eukaryota, Metazoa, Arthropoda, Insecta, Lepidoptera, Nymphalidae.
CACAUAUUUUUGCAAUAGAUAUAACAAAUGCAAGUUUAAUCUCUACAUAUUAGGUAUAUUAUAUUUUACACGAAUAUUAUUAGUUAGCUACAAUUACUUAAUUU